GACAGAGGGUGCAAACGUUGCUCGGAAUCACUGGGCGUAAAGGGCGUGUAGGCGGGAAGGCAAGUCAGAUGUGAAAUCCCCAGGCUCAACCUGGGAACUGCAUUUGAAACUCCCUUUCUUGAGUACCGGAGAGGAAAGUGGAAUUCCUGGUGUAGAGGUGAAAUUCGUAGAUAUCAGGAGGAACACCAGUGGCGAAGGCGGCUACCUGGCCUGUUCUUGACGCUGAGGCGCGAAAGCUAGGGGAGCAAACGGG
Molecule: ribosomal RNA, 253 nt
Filed under: uncultured bacterium
Lineage: Bacteria
Description: partial 16S ribosomal RNA
Rfam family: Bacterial small subunit ribosomal RNA
Source: RNAcentral